GACGAACGCUGGCGGCGUGCUUAACACAUGCAAGUCGAACGGUGAAGCGAGUGCUUGCACUCGUGGAUCAGUGGCGAACGGGUGAGUAACACGUAAGUAACCUGCCCAUCACUCUGGGAUAAGCACUGGAAACGGUGUCUAAUACUGGAUACGACCAACCCUUGCAUGGGGUGUUGGUGGAAAGAUUUAUCGGUGAUGGAUGGACUCGCGGCCUAUCAGCUUGUUGGCGGGGUAAUGGCCCACCAAGGCGACGACGGGUAGCCGGCCUGAGAGGGUGACCGGCCACACUGGGACUGAGACACGGCCCAGACUCCUACGGGAGGCAGCAGUGGGGAAUAUUGCACAAUGGGCGAAAGCCUGAUGCAGCGACGCCGCGUGAGGGAUGACGGCCUUCGGGUUGUAAACCUCUUUCAGCAGGGAAGAAGCGAAAGUGACGGUACCUGCAGAAGAAGCACCGGCUAACUACGUG
Molecule: ribosomal RNA, 469 nt
Filed under: uncultured bacterium
Lineage: Bacteria
Description: partial 16S ribosomal RNA
Rfam family: Bacterial small subunit ribosomal RNA
Source: RNAcentral